This 555-nucleotide long non-coding RNA is filed under the name Homo sapiens (human). RNAcentral describes it as "long non-coding RNA NONHSAT191513.1". The record is from RNAcentral. Lineage: Eukaryota; Metazoa; Chordata; Mammalia; Primates; Hominidae.
ACAUUGCUUUCUGCAUCCAUCCAUCAAUGGACACUGAAUCAUCUCAUCUUCUGGCAAUUGUGAAUGUGCAGAACAGGAGGGCUUCGGACAGGCUCAGCUGGUCCUGGAUCUCCUGCUGGCCCCGGCACUUGACAAUCAUGUAACCCUUCUUCAGGUGGAACACGAGGUUCCGCACCACGUCCACAACCUUGUCUUCAGUUCCUUUGUCCACCAGAUCAGGCUUCGUCAAGAUUCCUGCGAGCCAGAUGUAUUUGGGGAGAGAACGUGCUCAGUCACGAGGCAGAGGUGAACGAACAACUGCUCACGCCCCCGGCCUCCCAGGGUUUCCUCCCAUCCUUGCUUGAGGACAGGCCAUAGCCCCUGCAGAACCAUGGGGGCAGUGGAGCCCCGCUCCAGAAAAGAACUCCACGACAAGCCGCGUGAAGGCAGGGAUGCCUCCCAGAACAGCAUGUGGCUCUCCCCAAGCUCCUUCACCCGGGUCCACUGUAGAACACGCCACGUUUUGUUUAUCCCUUGAGUUAUGGACAUCCCAUCUCAAAUGCAUUCUUAAUGAGU